AUUGCAAUUAUAUUUCGUUUCAUCUGAUAAAAUUUUAUUUACUUUAGAAUAUGUUAUUUUAAGAGUUUUAAUAAAUUUAAGAUAAUUAGCAUUAUUUAUUUUCAAUAUAUUUAUUUUAAUCAAAAUUUAAAAUAAUUUUUAUGUAUAUUUAUCUUUUGAACUUUUACAUAGUUAUUAGAGUUAUGAUUUUUUUUUCAUUUAAUAAAAAUUUAGUUAUUUUAGAUUGUGUUAUUUUAUGGGGUUAUAAUAAGAUUUAAGGUAAUUAGGAUUAUUUAGCUAGGUUAAAUGUUACUUUGUAUAAUUUAGUGAAGUUAUUAACUUAAAUUUUUUUAAGGAUUUUUUUUGGUGUAGUUUUAAUUAUGGGUUGUUCAUGCAGUUACAUUUAAUUUUGUGGGUUUAUUUGUAUAGUACUCAAAUUAGUUCUCCAUCUAUAUUGGACUUAAUUUUUUUACGAUAGAGUUUUAGGAUGAAAGUGAGAGAAUGUUGUUUAAUGGUACCUUCUUAAAAUCUUUGUUUGCCAAAAAAUUAUGGAAUAAUAAGGGAAUGCAUUCUAGAAUUUGAUAUUUGUUUGAAUGCAUCUUUGUUUUAUUUAUGCUUGCAAUUAUUUACUUUUUGAAAAUUGAGAUUUUUAAAUUUGGUAGAGUACUCUGAAUUAAGAAAAUAUUCUACUAAUUUUUGAUUAACAUUGUUUAAAGACAUUUGUUGAAUUAUGUAUAUGUUGUUGAAUUUGUUUGGUUUGUAAAAAUUGAAAGUUAUAUUUGAUGGAUGUGUCUAAUUAUAGCUAAAAUUCUACCAAUUUUUUUUAAAUUAAUAAUUUAAGUGGUAUUCUUGGUUGAAUUUUAGGUUGUUUGUGAUAAAAUAAUUUUGAGUCAUCAUUUUAUGAAUGUAUGAUAAGGAUAACAGUAAACGGGGGGAUUAAAACCUGAGUUCUUUAAGGGUGUUGAUUAAUUUGUUGCAUAUGUGUUUAACAUAAAACCUUUUAAGUCUCAAAGGGUAUCUAGAUGUCCAUGCUAUAAGUGUCAACUAACUAAAUAGUUAGGAGCUUCAAAUAUAAUUCUUCACUUUUAUCGUAACGAGUUCAAGGAUGGGUAUUGGGUGUAAACUGAAAACGGAGAAGUUGAUAAGAAGAAAAUCAAUUGGUCUGCACUGAUUGCCAAUAAGUUUGAGGGCCAGUCAAGGAGGGUGAACUUGGUUAGAGAAGUGAACAUAGAAGAGGUGAAUUUGGAGAAUAACUAAGAGAGAUACAAUGAGAUGGUAUUUAAUGCAAUCAGUGUUAAUGUUAUCGAAAAAGUUGAAGAAGAGUCUAACCCAGAAACAAAGAGAUUUUAUGAUUUGUUAGAAUCUACUGCACAACCACUGUUUGAGGGGUAUAUUCACUCAAAAUUGUGUGUCUGUAUUAGAAUGAUGAGUAUUAAGUCUACGUCAGAUCACACCAAGCAUUGUUGUCAAACUUGUGAGUUAACUUGUAAACUCGUAGGUAGUGGAAUCAAGUUAACUCGAACAUAAACUCGGUCUUAACUAAACUAAACCUAAACUCGCAAGCCGAGGUGCGAGUUAACGAGUUUGAAUUGUUGCCCAGUUUUGGCUAAAAAUGACAUCAUUUAGCCCCAAAAAAGAGAGAAAAGCGUUUUUUCAUUAGGGUUUUUGUCCAGAACACUCACCCCUUUCCCCUCUCACUCUCUGCACUGUUUCUAAGUCUCUUUAGUCACAAAUCUCAUGCUCUCUAUGUUCUUCUGUCGUCUGCCGUUCACCCUCGUGCUACUGUCUGACAUGCUAUUUUUGUUCACCUGCUUCUCCUAGCAUUGUUCUACACGCCUGCCCAGUGCUGGAAGGUCAAGGAAGUUGGUGACCUGAUGAUAGGGGAGCCGGCGACCAAAGCCCCGGUGAACGGCGGCCAUAACUAUAACGGUCCUAAGGUAGCGAAAUUCUUUGUCGGGUAAGUUCCGACCCGCACGAAAGGCGUAACGAUCUGGGCACUGUCUCGGAGAGAGGCUCGGUGAAAUAGACAUGUCUGUGAAGAUGCGMACUACCUCCACCUGGACAGAAAGACCCUAUGAAGCUUCACUGUUCCCUGGGAUUGGCUUUGGGCUUUUCCUGCGCAGCUUAGGUGGAAGGCGAAAAAGGCCUCCUUCUAGGGGGGCCCGAGCCAUCAAUGAGAUACCACUAUGGAAGAGCUAGAAUUCUAACCUUGUGCCAGGACCUACGGGCCAAGGGACAGUCUCAGGUAGAUAGUUUCUAUGGGGUGUAUGCCUCCCAAAAGGUAACGGAGGCGUGCAAAGGUUUCCUCGGGCCAGACGGAGAUUGGCCCUCAAGUGCAAAGGCAUAAGGGAGCUUGACUGCAAGACCCACCCGUUGAGAGCAGGGAUGAAAGUCGGCCUUAGUGAUCCGACGGUGCCGAGUGGAAGGGUCGUCGCUCAACGGAUAAAAGUUACUCUAGGGAUAAUAGGCUGAUCUUCCCCAAGAGUUAGUUCAUAUCGACAGGAUGGUUUGGCACCUCGAUGUCUGCUCUUCACCACCUGGGGCUGUAGUAUGUUCCAAGGAUUGGGCUGUUCGUCCAUUAAAGCGGUACAUGAGCUGGGUUCAGAACGUCGUGAGACAGUUCGGUCCAUAUCCGGUGUGGGCAUUUUCCCUCUCUUUUUCUUUUGCUCUAUGUUGUGUUUUGCCUCACGCAUUUGCUUCCUGCUGUUCUCACUUCUCCGCUAUUCUCCUACUUUUCCUACCUCUGCUGUGUUCGCACCUUUAUCUCUGCCUCUUUGUAUCUCUAAUUUGCUUUGCUUCACGCCUCCAAGCUCUGCUCUGCCCAACUGCCUCCAUUCUCUAUCGCAACUGACUGCUUGACCAUCAUUUUCUUUAACUGUGUUGUUCGGUCGCUAUAUUCAAGCUUCUAAUUUGUAGCAGCUGCCACUAGCUAGUAAGUAUACAAGUUGGUGAAGCAUUAGAAAGUUUGUUACAGGUAUUUUUUUUUAAAAUAUUAUUACUUUUA
RNAcentral lists this ribosomal RNA (2983 nucleotides) under Arachis monticola. RNAcentral's name for it is "bacterial LSU rRNA". The record is from RNAcentral. Lineage: Eukaryota; Viridiplantae; Streptophyta; Magnoliopsida; Fabales; Fabaceae.